RNAcentral lists this ribosomal RNA (494 nucleotides) under uncultured bacterium. Its description in RNAcentral is "partial 16S ribosomal RNA". It matches the Rfam family "Bacterial small subunit ribosomal RNA", at positions 28 to 507 of the family's 1533-position model. The record is from RNAcentral.
GACGAACGCUGGCGGCGUGCUUAACACAUGCCAGUCGAACGGUGAAGCGCCUUCCUUUUUGGUGGGUGUGGACGAGUGGCGAACGGGUGAGUAACACGUGAGUAACCUGCCCCCUUCUUCUGGAUAACCGCAUGAAAGUGUGGCUAAUACGGGAUAUUCUGGGUCUGUCGCAUGAUGGGUCUGGGCACGAUAUUGUUUCGGUGGGGGAUGUGUUCGCGGCGUAUCUGGUUGUUGGUGGGGUGAGGGCCUACCAUGGCGGUGACGGGUAGACGGUCUAAGAGGGUCGACCGUCACACUGGGACUAAGACGCGGCCAAGACUCCUAGGGGAGGCAGCAGGGGGGAAUAUUGCACAAUGGGAAGAAGCCUGAUGCAGCGCCGCCGCGUGAGAGAAGGAGGUCUUCUGGUUAUGAACCUCUUGCUCCAGUGAAGCAGGCCUGCCUCGUUUGUUGCUGUGUUGACGUUAGCUAGAUAAUAAGCGCCGGCUAACUACGUG